UAAGAAACAUGUUAGAUUAGAGAUUUCCUUUUUUAGGACUUCUACUACGAUAGUUAGCCACCUCUUGUUAUGCAACAGCACUUUCUAUUAGCAACCUUUUGUUAUGCUUUUGCCCUCUUCUCUUCUUUGUGAUCUGCUUCUUUUGAGGCGGCAUGUCUUAUCAUACAGGUUCGCGAUCCACCAUGUUUCAAAAUGCAAAAGGACGGUUCGUUUGAUUUCUUUUUAGUAAUGUCUCAUUUUCAUUUGUUGAGAAUGAAAAUACAUUUUGUAUAUAUAUCUAUUUUCUAUUGAUAAAUUGUAUACAUACCAAUACCAUAUUUCAAAGUAUGUAUAAAAUAUCUUGAAGCAAUCCACAUGAUCAGUGAUAAGAUGCAGACUCGCUUACAACAACUGGCUCAAGUUCUUCAAAACAUCUCUGAUUUGCUUAACAGGAAUUGAAAUGUUCAUGUGCAGCAUAUCUUCCAAGAGGGAAACAUAAUGACAGAUUUUAUGGCCAAAUUUAGUUUGAAUCUCCAGGUUUCUUCAAAAUCUUGGGACAUGCCACCUAUAAGAGCUCUCGACAUCGUGCAGCUCGAUCUUCAACCUAUCCUCUAGUUUUCGCUUUUAAUUUUUCCGAUGUGUGAAAAAAGUAGGUAUAGAAUGUAGUUGUAUCAAUGAUGAGUUAAGAUAAUGUACAUCUAAACUAAACACCAUUGAUGCAGAUAGUAAACUCAGGUUUUCAUAGAAAUUCAAGUUCACACACCAACAUGAAAACACAAAACCUUUUGGUAGAAGUUGUUUAUGUUUUCCAACACAUGCACAUCAUAAAGUUUCCUUAAAUUGUUCAUAGUAGUUAAUUAUAUUGUUGUGACAAAGCAUACUUAAUGCUGACAGUGCAUAGAAAUUAAACUCGUAUUAAUAUCGGAGAUGUUUUGCUUUUACUAAAUUGCUUAUUCUUUUCAAUUGUAGAAUAUUAUAGAAGCGUGAAGGAAGAACUUAAAGCUGCACAGAAAAGUUGAGGAAAGUAACAAUGAGGAAAAGCAUGAGCUAUCAUGUUCACAAUAAAAAAAGCAAAGAGAGAAAAAGGUCCUUUCGGAGCAUCUUUGUACCUUAGAUAUGAUUGUUGUUCUUACAAAAUAAAAGUACUUUUAUUUAUAGUGUAACAUUAAUGCAUGACUUAAAAAUAUGCAUAUCACAAGUUUUCAAUUCCAC
RNAcentral lists this long non-coding RNA (1191 nucleotides) under Lupinus angustifolius (narrow-leaved blue lupine). Its description in RNAcentral is "long non-coding RNA (LANG_LNC001532)". Lineage: Eukaryota; Viridiplantae; Streptophyta; Magnoliopsida; Fabales; Fabaceae. The record is from RNAcentral.